CACCGAGCGGCUUCUUUUUUUUGGUCUUUUUGUUGGUCGCGUCCGCAUCGUCCAUUUUUCUCCGGCCAAGGGUGCGUCGACGGCUAGAACUUGGCAUUGCCCGCGAGCCAGUAUGCGCGCGACCACGGGUCGUCCUCCCGUGGCGAUCUCGGCGGCACCUUGGUGUUCCACACGAAAUCGGGCGUGUCGUCGAGGCCAUAGGCCGCAUGGUGCAGGCCAAACCAUUCGACAAAGGCCGUCGGCGCGCGCGGUCCGGGCACCCCGUUGUCGUCGUCCCCGUCGUCAUCGCAUGGAGAUGGUACCACAUUGGCAUAGGCCCUCGCCACCAACGCGCGCGUCUCCUCGGGCGUGUAGAGACCAAGCACUCGCGCCGCGGCCUGCAGCAUCAAACCCGGUUCCGGCAAGGCCGCUGCAGCCGCCAGUUUGCGUUGCAGCCGCUCUGGCCUGCCCGCGUCCAGGGUCUCGUCAUUGGUGCCGUCGCCUGUCACAGCGGCGAACCGACGACGCGGCCCCGUGGCCAAGGCGUUGUCCUGUACCCGUCCUACACCAUCGCUGUCAGCCGCAUCGCGCAUCCGCUUGAGCCCCGUAAUAUCCGAUGGAUCGUCAUCGUCGACACGCGCCCGCGACGCAACCGCUGUCAGAUCCCUCUCUUGGCCCAAGUCGCCCGUCGUCAUCGGCAUCGGCCCGUCCGACGCUGCCUUGGCCAAGUCACGGAGUCCCCGUGACUCGGCGCCAAGGAGGGCGCGGCGCCCCGCGUGUGCCCUCCUGUGGGUGGUGCUGCCGACAAAGCGUAAUGCAGGCGCCGGGCAGGCAGUUCCACUCGGCGCCAUAAAGGCCGCCAGCACCGACGGACUCGCGCAAGGGCCGCGCGCAGUGUGAGAUCCCGUCCUGUCGUCGCCGUCGUCGCCCUCGACGCGCGCAUCCACUUCUUGCCCUCGGCGCUCAUUCACUUGGACUGUCGUCUGUACCAUCGCUUCCGGUUGCGCUUUGGUUUGCCUGAUCAUCGCAACCCGUUGGUCUUGUGGGUCCAUCGCGUGCGUAAUCAGGGUCAGCCCCGCAAAAAAAAAGAACCCCAACACCGAUCGUGGCACCGAUCACCCCUGCCCGGUCGGUGCCUUGCGCGCGCGCGCACGCCGGCAUCACUUUUUGUCCUCCCGUCGUUUUCUUUCAUUUUUCCCCAUCUAUUUUCCCAAAGUGCCUUUUUGUGCGUCACUCGUCGGUUUUCUGUUGUCGUCGUUGUUGGGUUUUUUUUCGGUGACGAGUUCCCGUUUGCGGCGGGGCCGGCCUUUUCGAGCGACGACAGCGACGGUCGAUCCGCCAGUGCCCGCCGCUGUCGUCGCUCGCGAUCGCCAAACAAGGACAGACGGACGACAAAAAAAGCCGACAACCAUCGCCAUCCAUCGAAAGAUUUAUAAAAAAAAAUGAAAAACUCUUUUUGGC
Molecule: long non-coding RNA, 1440 nt
Filed under: Pandoravirus salinus
Description: putative ncRNA
Source: RNAcentral